This 440-nucleotide ribosomal RNA is filed under the name uncultured bacterium. RNAcentral's name for it is "partial 16S ribosomal RNA". It matches the Rfam family "Bacterial small subunit ribosomal RNA", at positions 338 to 795 of the family's 1533-position model. The record is from RNAcentral.
CCUACGGGAUGCAGCAGUGGGGGAUAUUGCACAAUGGGGGAAACCCUGAUGCAGCGACGCCGCGUGAGUGAAGAAGUAUUUCGGUAUGUAAAGCUCUAUCAGCAGGGAAGAAAAUGACAGUACCUGACCACGAAGCACCGGCUAACUACGUGCCAGCAGCCGCGGUACUACGUAGGGGGCAAGCGUUAUCCGGAUUUACUGGGUGUAAAGGGAGCGUAGACGGUUAUGUAAGUCUGGAGUGAAAGCCCGGGGCCCAACCCCGGGACUGCUUUGGAAACGGUGUAACUGGAGUACAGGAGGGGCAGGCGGAAUGCCUGGUGUAGCGGUGAAAGGCGUAGAUAUCAGGAGGAACACCGGCGGCGAAGGCGGCCUGCUGGACUGAAACUGACGUUGAGGCUCGAAAGCGUGGGGUGCAAACAGGAUUAGAUACCCUGGUAGUC